UCUUAGACUCUUCACUCAAGUUUUUGAAAAUCCUGAGGUUCUGCAGGGUACUGUCCAUUUUCUUUCAAUACAUUCUCUCUAGGCAUUGUUCUCAUAGAAGAUGAUAGCUCCAUGUCCCUGAAGACCUUCCAGUGGGACAAGAUGUAGAGGUGGAAGACAGUGAUAUUGUGAUACUGACUCUGUGUAAGCCUAAUGUGCAUGUUUGUGUUUUAGGUUUUUUUUUUUUUUUUUAGUUUCAAGUAAAAAAAUAAUUUCUAAGAUAGAAGAAAGUUGUAGAAUAAGGAUACAAAGAAAAAAAUUUUUUGUAUAUUCAUACAACAUGUGUUUUAAACUAAGUGUUAUUAGAAGAGUCAAAAAUAAUAAAAGGUUUAUAAAGUAAAAAAGUUACAGUAAGCUGAAGUUAAUGUUAAUUUACUUUGGAAGAAAAAUUCUUUUUACAAACUUAGUGUAGCCUAAAUACACAGUGUUUAUAAAGUUUACAGUAGCAUACAGUAAUGUUCUAGGCCUCCACAUUCACACACCAUUCACUCACUGACUCGCCCAGAGCAACUUCCAGCUCUACAAGCUCCAUUCAUGGUAAAUACCCUAUAAAGGUGCCCUAUAGAGAUUUUUAAAAUCAUUUAUACUGUAUUUUUGCUGUACCUUUUCUAGAUUUAUAUAUGUUUAGGUAGACAAAUACUUGCCAUUGUGUUCCAACUGCCUACAGUCUUCAGUAUAGUAACAUUGAGUACAGGCUUACAGCCUAGGAGCAAUAGGCUAUACCAUAUAGCCCAGGUGUGUAAUAGGUUAUCCCAUCCAGGUUUGUGUAAGUACAAUCUAUGAUGUUCACACGAUGAUACUGACUAAGAAUGCAUUUCUCAGAACAUAUCCCCAUUAUUAAAGUGAUGCAUGAUUGCAAAUGGAUUCAAGUGUAUCAUUUUAUUAUUAGUUUUCUGUCUGUUCUGUGUUUUUGUUCCCCUCUUUCCCUUUCCCACUUUCUUUCAGAUUAAAUGUGUAUUUUAAUUUCUAU
Molecule: long non-coding RNA, 1009 nt
Filed under: Homo sapiens (human)
Lineage: Eukaryota; Metazoa; Chordata; Mammalia; Primates; Hominidae
Description: HSALNT0168521
Source: RNAcentral